ACGGAGGGUGCAAGCGUUAAUCGGAAUUACUGGGCGUAAAGCGCACGCAGGCGGUUUGUUAAGUCAGAUGUGAAAUCCCCGGGCUCAACCUGGGAACUGCAUCUGAUACUGGCAAGCUUGAGUCUCGUAGAGGGGGGUAGAAUUCCGGGUGGAGCGGGGAAAUGCGUAGAUAUCUGGAUGAGGGCCAGUGGCGAAGGCGACAAACUGGACUAGAAUUGACGGUCAGGUGCGUAAGCGUCUGGAGCAAACAG
RNAcentral lists this ribosomal RNA (251 nucleotides) under uncultured prokaryote. RNAcentral describes it as "partial 16S rRNA". It matches the Rfam family "Bacterial small subunit ribosomal RNA", at positions 525 to 775 of the family's 1533-position model. The record is from RNAcentral.